RNA transcript from Teleopsis dalmanni, 925 nucleotides. RefSeq lists it as uncharacterized. Lineage: Eukaryota; Metazoa; Arthropoda; Insecta; Diptera; Diopsidae. The transcript is spliced from 5 exons. The record is from RefSeq and is a predicted model, not a curated record.
UCAAGAAAUAAUGUAAUCUAUAAUGUGUAUUCCUCUAAAUUAAUAGAAUAAAACUUUGAAGCCCACAAAAUUGUCAACAUCGUACAUAUUUUACAUAAACAAUAAAUCAAAAUGGGUUUAUCUUUAAGUAAAGCAUUUCAAUUUAAUCAACCGGUUGAAAAGAUAGAUAAUGAACCACCAUCCACAUCAACGAAAUCUGUUGUUAGGAACAAUAAAUUAAACCAAUCACAAGUAAAUCUAUACCCAAGCAAGCCACAAAAUCGCAAAGCUCACGAAACAAUACUUUGUUGUGAUGAUCAUCCUGAUAUCAUAACAGAAGAAGAAUGCACUGGACGUGACAUCAAAGAUCUUACUGCAGAGGAGAUAGAAGUAAGGUUUCAAAAUGUAUGCCAAAAAUCAAUCGAGUCGAUUAACAAUCUGUCAGGUGAUGUGGGCAUAGAGAUUAGGAAAGCCAUAUUAAAUUAUGUUGAUGAAAAUGCCAUAAGAAUGAGGCAGUAUUAUUUGGAACUUAAAGCAUAUGAAGAAGAGGCGACAAAAGAAAAACCAAAAAUACUUACUCCACUGAACGUCGAGACAACUGUUGAUAGCUCUCAUAAUGAAAGCACCGUUUAAGCUUUCAUUUGCGUACAUACAGAAUAUAACCUAACCUCCGGUAAGAUCAUAUAUGAUAAAAUGGAUAUUAUAUAUGACAAUGGAUAUUGGAUAAGUUUAAUUAAAGAAUAUUUUUAAUUUAGGAUCAAUAUGGAUUAAAACAUAACGCCUUUCUGUAUUGAAAAAUUGCUGGCAGAUCCAAACAGAAGAUUGACUAUACAACUUUCACAGGAAUCAAGAUAAAGAGCUGAAGUAGCAUAAUAUAAAUAUUUAUUAAUCCAUUAUGUACAAAUUUCGCAAAAUAUAUUUUUAUAUACCCUUAAACUUACAAUAA